UACGUAGGGUGCAAGCGUUAAUCGGAAUUACUGGGCGUAAAGCGUGCGCAGGCGGCUUUGCAAGACAGAUGUGAAAUCCCCGGGCUUAACCUGGGAACUGCAUUUGUGACUGCAUGGCUGGAGUGCGGCAGAGGGGGAUGGAAUUCCGCGUGUAGCAGUGAAAUGCGUAGAUAUGCGGAGGAACACCGAUGGCGAAGGUAAUCCCCUGGGCCUGCACUGACGCUCAUGCACGAAAGCGUGGGGAGCAAACAGG
Molecule: ribosomal RNA, 253 nt
Filed under: uncultured bacterium
Lineage: Bacteria
Description: partial 16S ribosomal RNA
Rfam family: Bacterial small subunit ribosomal RNA
Source: RNAcentral